This 812-nucleotide ribosomal RNA is filed under the name Enterococcus saccharolyticus. Its description in RNAcentral is "bacterial SSU rRNA". It matches the Rfam family "Bacterial small subunit ribosomal RNA", at positions 68 to 864 of the family's 1533-position model. The record is from RNAcentral. Lineage: Bacteria; Bacillati; Bacillota; Bacilli; Lactobacillales; Enterococcaceae.
GACGAGAGUGCUUGCACUCUCUGAUGUUAGCGGCGGACGGGUGAGUAACACGUGGGUAACCUACCUAUAAGACUGGGAUAACUUCGGGAAACCGGAGCUAAUACCGGAUAAUAUUUAGCUUCGCAUGAAGCAAUAGUGAAAGACGGUUCUGCUGUCACUUAUAGAUGGACCCGCGGUGUAUUAGCUAGUUGGUGAGGUAACGGCUCACCAAGGCAACGAUACAUAGCCGACCUGAGAGGGUGAUCGGCCACACUGGGACUGAGACACGGCCCAGACUCCUACGGGAGGCAGCAGUAGGGAAUCUUCCGCAAUGGACGAAAGUCUGACGGAGCAACGCCGCGUGAGUGAAGAAGGUUUUCGGAUCGUAAAACUCUGUUGUAAGGGAAGAACAAGUACGUUAGUAACUGAACGUACCUUGACGGUACCUUACCAGAAAGCCACGGCUAACUACGUGCCAGCAGCCGCGGUAAUACGUAGGUGGCAAGCGUUAUCCGGAAUUAUUGGGCGUAAAGCGCGCGUAGGCGGUCUCUUAAGUCUGAUGUGAAAGCCCCCGGCUCAACCGGGGAGGGUCAUUGGAAACUGGGAGACUUGAGUGCAGAAGAGGAGAGUGGAAUUCCAUGUGUAGCGGUGAAAUGCGCAGAGAUAUGGAGGAACACCAGUGGCGAAGGCGGCUCUCUGGUCUGUAACUGACGCUGAGGUGCGAAAGCGUGGGGAUCAAACAGGAUUAGAUACCCUGGUAGUCCACGCCGUAAACGAUGAGUGCUAAGUGUUGGGGGGUUUCCGCCCCUCAGUGCUGCAGCUAACGCAUUAAG